This 254-nucleotide ribosomal RNA is filed under the name uncultured bacterium. Its description in RNAcentral is "partial 16S ribosomal RNA". It matches the Rfam family "Bacterial small subunit ribosomal RNA", at positions 15 to 263 of the family's 1533-position model. The record is from RNAcentral.
GAUCCUGGCUCAGGACGAACGCUGGCGGCGCGCCUAACACAUGCAAGUCGAACGGAGCUUAGAGAGCUUGCUUUUUAAGCUUAGUGGCGAACGGGUGAGUAACGCGUGAGUAACCUGCCCUAGAGUGGGGGACAACAGUUGGAAACGACUGCUAAUACCGCAUAAGCCCACGGUACCGCAUGGCACUGAGGGAAAAGGAUUUAUUCGCUUUAGGAUGGACUCGCGUCCAAUUAGCUAGUUGGUGAGGUAACCGG